This 330-nucleotide unclassified non-coding RNA is filed under the name Zea mays. RNAcentral's name for it is "misc RNA Zm00001eb356020". Lineage: Eukaryota; Viridiplantae; Streptophyta; Magnoliopsida; Poales; Poaceae. The record is from RNAcentral.
CCGCCAGAUAUCCCGCCCCGCAGUUCUGCCCACCGCUCCAGCUCCAGCUCCAGCCCCAUCCUCCGGCGGCAUCGCCGCUGCAGCCACCCCCGUCCUCACAAUCGCCUCAACAUCUGGUUUGGAAGCUGGGGAGGGGAACUCCCAUAGUUUCCCCCUCACGGUAAGCCCUACAAAGGGGGAUUUUUGCUUGCAGGAGCAGAUCAAGGAUGCUUUGCCCCAUGUUUUUCAGUCCCGCAGAGACAAAGUUCCGUCAGAUUUGGAUCUGCAGAAGCAUGCCGCAACUGCUGAUGGCACGUCUCUGCUUGCUGCGUCAGCUUCAGCGCCAAAAUC